GUGCCCGUAGCUCAGCUGGAUAGAGCGUCAGACUCCGACUCUGAAGGCCAAGCGUUCGAAUCGCACCGGGCAUACCA
The sequence is a transfer RNA, 77 nucleotides long. It matches the Rfam family "tRNA". From Rfam's summary of the family: Transfer RNA (tRNA) molecules are approximately 80 nucleotides in length.